CCAGUUAUCAGUUUGUGGAUAAUAAGGUAUUUAGUCAUCAUUAUACAUAUGCUAUAACUGGAGUUAAUGAAUUAGGAGAAGGAAUAUCUAAUAAUGAAACAUUCUCAUACCUAAGAGUUCCAAAAUCAACUGCAGAAAACACAUCCAUUGACAUACUUUUCUCUACAGAAGAUGUGACAAUAGUCCAGUUCACUAUUCCAAUUAUACUGGAAUGUGCUAAUGAAGACCUUGAACACCUUACAGUUACAUGAAACAUAUGAAUGCUAUAACAGGAUUUGUAUCAAUGCCACUGUAUCAAGAGUGCAACAUCACUAUUGUAUUCGGUAAUGGUGCUGGUAGUAGUGAACCAUUUGUACUA
Long non-coding RNA from Amphimedon queenslandica, 358 nucleotides. RefSeq lists it as uncharacterized. The record is from RefSeq and is a predicted model, not a curated record. The transcript is spliced from 4 exons. NCBI's taxonomy places the organism in Eukaryota, Metazoa, Porifera, Demospongiae, Haplosclerida, Niphatidae.